AGGCAUUUACUAACUGGAAAUGCUUAAAUGAAUUAGCGUUACAAGUGGGCUCUGACCGGUAAGCGGUCAUGGCGAAAUGGGAUGAACCAUACGUCUGAAUAAGGUGCCGAAAUGUACUAUCACUGAUACCAUAAAGGGAGUCCAUGUAUUUAGACAGCAGGUCGGUGCCCCUAAAAGCAGGUAUCCGCUAAAGAGUGUGUUAAAACUCACCUGCCGAAUACUAGGGCCCCGAAAAUGAAUGGCGCAUAUAGUACUACCGAUCUCAGACAUCAGUUCUAUUGAACUGAGAGUAGGGGGAUGUGGACAUUUUUGUGAAGGUGCAAUGUGAGUUGGACUGGAAGAAUGUCUAUUACAGAUCCUAAUUGAAGUAGCGAUUAUCCAGGCUUGUAUCCUGGGGGCUGAUGAGGAGUAGGGUUUCUGGACAACUUAAACAGAUCCAGAGUUAGUCGAUCCUAAUCUCAAUAAUGGGAGAAAGGGAGUACAGUUGAUAUUCUGUAACUGACAACAGUUCGCGGCAACGCAUACUAUUUUUCUCCGCCAAUCUUAUACCGUUGGUAGGGAUCUCUUUCCUACAUGACAGUACUAAUACCCAGGGAAACUGGUCAUCAGGCGAACUGCGGCGUUCUGCUGGCAAAACAUAGCUUCGGUUAUGUCAAUGGCUAUUGGAUUGGUCCAUGAAGCGAAAAAUAGUUUACUGUGUCACUCGUACCGAUAACCGCAUCAGGUCUUCUAGGUAAGUAGCCUAUGGCCAUUGAGGCAUGAUAGUUCAGGGAAUUCGGCCAAUUAGAGCUGUAACUUCGGGAUAAAGCUUGGCUCUGAUGAAAAUCAGAACCGAUUGUUACGCGGAGAGCCCAACUGUUUAAUAAAAACGUAGUGUCGCGCUGUGGUAGUAUAGCCAGUGAACGCGACAUGAAUCCUGCUCAGUGCUGUGUCUGUUAAUAUGGUUCAAGCCAACGAAGCACCGGUAAAUAGCUGGGGUAACUAUGACUCUUAUCAAAGUAGCG
Molecule: non-coding RNA, 1004 nt
Filed under: Trichomonas vaginalis G3
Lineage: Eukaryota; Parabasalia; Trichomonadida; Trichomonadidae
Description: Eukaryotic large subunit ribosomal RNA
Rfam family: Eukaryotic large subunit ribosomal RNA
Source: Rfam by way of RNAcentral